This 519-nucleotide ribosomal RNA is filed under the name uncultured eukaryote. RNAcentral's name for it is "SSU rRNA". It matches the Rfam family "Eukaryotic small subunit ribosomal RNA", at positions 1161 to 1699 of the family's 1831-position model. The record is from RNAcentral.
AGGGCACCACCAGGAGUGGAGCCUGCGGCUUAAUUUGACUCAACACGGGAAAACUCACCGGGCCCGGACACUGGAAGGAUUGACAGAUUGAGAGCUCUUUCUUGAUUCAGUGGGUGGUGGUGCAUGGCCGUUCUUAGUUGGUGGAGUGAUUUGUCUGGUUAAUUCCGAUAACGAACGAGACUCUAGCCUACUAAAUAGAUCGUCGGCUUACAAACGCCGGCGAGACUUCUUAGAGGGACAGGCGGUGAUUCAACCGCACGAAACAGAGCAAUAACAGGUCUGUGAUGCCCUUAGAUGUCCGGGGCCGCACGCGCGCUACACUGAAGUGAUCAGCGUGCUUUUUCAACCUACUCUGUCAAGAGUGGGGAACCCAAUGAACCUUCUUCGUGAUUGGGAUAGGGGAUUGUAAUUAUUCCCCUUGAACGAGGAAUUCCCAGUAAGCGCGAGUCAUAAGCUCGCGUUGAUUACGUCCCUGCCCUUUGUACACACCGCCCGUCGCUACUACCGAUUGAAUGUUUU